This 497-nucleotide ribosomal RNA is filed under the name uncultured bacterium. RNAcentral describes it as "partial 16S ribosomal RNA". It matches the Rfam family "Bacterial small subunit ribosomal RNA", at positions 28 to 507 of the family's 1533-position model. The record is from RNAcentral.
GUUGAACGCUGGCGGCAUGCCUAACACAUGCAAGUCGAGCGGACAGACGAGGCUCUUGCCUGUCUGACGUUAGCGGCGGACGGGUGAGUAACACGUGUCUAACCUACCUAUAAGACUGGCAUACCUUCGGGAAACCUGAUCUAAUACCCGAUCAUAUAGUGAACCUCAUGGUUCAUUGGUCAAAGCCCGUUUUGCUGUCACUAAUAGAUGGUACCAGGCCGCAUUAGCUAGUUGGUAGGGUAAAGGCUUACCAAGGCGACGAUGCGUAGCUGACCUGAGAGGAUGAUCAGUCACACUGGAACUGAGACACGGUCCAGACUCCUACGGGAGGCAGCAGUGGGGAAUAUUGGACAAUGGGCGAAAGCCUGAUCCAGCCAUGCCGCGUGUGUGAAGAAGGUCUUCGGAUUGUAAAGCACUUUAAGUUGGGAGGAAGAGCAGUAAGUUAAUACCUUGCUGUUUUGACGUUACCAACAGAAUAAGCACCGGCUAACUUCGUG